RNAcentral lists this ribosomal RNA (496 nucleotides) under Trochalus sp. DA1506. Its description in RNAcentral is "partial 16S large subunit ribosomal RNA". It matches the Rfam family "Bacterial large subunit ribosomal RNA", at positions 1844 to 2600 of the family's 2925-position model. The record is from RNAcentral. Lineage: Eukaryota; Metazoa; Arthropoda; Insecta; Coleoptera; Scarabaeidae.
UUUAAGGUCUAAUCUGCCCUAUGAGGAGUUAAAUGGCCGCGGUAUUUUGACCGUGCAAAGGUAGCAUAAUAAUUAGUUUUUUAAUUGAAAGCUGGAAUGAAUGAUUGGACGAGAAAAUUACUGUCUCGAAUUAAUUUAAUUAGAAUUUUAUUUUUAAGUAAAAAAGCUUAAAUUUUUUUAAAAGACGAGAAGACCCUAUAGAGUUUUAUAUAUUUUAUUAUUUUGAAAUUUUUAGAAUUGUUUGUUUGUUAUUUUAAAAUAUAUUUUAUUGGGGUGAUAGAAAAAUUGAAUUAACUUUUUUUACAUUAAAACAUUUAUUUAUGAUUAAAUGAUCCAUUUUUUAUGAUUAUAAGAUUAAAUUACCUUAGGGAUAACAGCGUAAUUUUUUUUUAGAGUUCUUAUCGAAAGAAGAGAUUGCGACCUCGAUGUUGGAUUAAAAUAGACGUUUGGUGUAGGGGCUAAAUAGUUAGGUCUGUUCGACCUUUAAAAUUUUACA